AUGAGAAGGGAAUGGAAAAACAGGAGCUGCUGUUCCGCGAGACUUUCUAUUUUUAAAAGGUUAAAAAUAUCUAUUUUCAGACACCAGCCCAGGAAGCGCUGGGGUGAAGCGACGCGGCGGGACGGGAGGAGUAAACAAGGCCGGGACGUGCCGGGCGGCUCGGGAGCUGCAGCUCCGGGGACAGGGACAGCGAGGGACAAUGGGCCGGGGACGUGGCCACAGGGAGACGAGGGAUUGCAUCAGGCUGCAGGGCUCCGUGCCAGGGGGAUGCUCAGCCCCAAGAGAGGAUGCGCAGCAUCAAGGCCAAGGUCGCAGUGAUGCUCCCUGGGCUGGCCGGGCCCUCGUGCUCAUCCCUUGGCUCCACCUGGGCAGGAGCACCUCAUGUGCACCACAUUCCCCAGACAGAAUCAGGCAAUGCUCCAGGAAUGCUGCAAAAGGUCCUUGGGGUGCUGGUGCCAGCGGCUGACCAUGAACCCAGACAUUAAGUCAUUUUCCUGAGGAAGUGCCGUAUGACGUCGAUCUGCUCACAGGAGUCGGGGUGGAGCUGCGAGCUCCAGCGAGACUACAGCAGAGGUGAGGAGCGGGAGCACCAGGACACCCCGUCCUGGCCCUCUGCUACAGGAAUGGCACUCCAGGGGUCCAAAUGCAAUGCAAAUCCUGGUAUUUCGAGGUC
Prinia subflava (tawny-flanked prinia) is the source of this 673-nucleotide long non-coding RNA. RefSeq lists it as uncharacterized. Lineage: Eukaryota; Metazoa; Chordata; Aves; Passeriformes; Cisticolidae. The record is from RefSeq and is a predicted model, not a curated record. The transcript is spliced from 3 exons.